RNAcentral lists this transfer RNA (74 nucleotides) under Bryopsis hypnoides. RNAcentral describes it as "tRNA-Thr". Lineage: Eukaryota; Viridiplantae; Chlorophyta; Ulvophyceae; Bryopsidales; Bryopsidaceae. The record is from RNAcentral.
UGCUCCCUCUGAGAGUUGAACUCAGGACCUCCCGCUUACUAAACGGGUGCUCUAACCAACUGAGCUAAAGGAGC